RNAcentral lists this ribosomal RNA (315 nucleotides) under uncultured bacterium. RNAcentral describes it as "bacterial SSU rRNA". It matches the Rfam family "Bacterial small subunit ribosomal RNA", at positions 28 to 342 of the family's 1533-position model. The record is from RNAcentral.
GAUGAACGCUAGCGGCAGGCCUAACACAUGCAAGUCGAGGGGCAGCACGUCUUCGGAUGGUGGCGACCGGCGCACGGGUGCGUAACGCGUAUGCAACCUACCUCUUACAGUGGGAUAGCCCAGAGAAAUUUGGAUUAAUACCGCAUAGUAUACAGAUUCAGCAUUGGGACUGUAUUAAACAUUUAUGGGUAAGAGAUGGGCAUGCGUUCUAUUAGUUAGUUGGAGUGGUAACGGCACCCCAAGACAGCGAUAGAUUAGGGGCCCUGAGAGGGGGAUCCCCCGACACUGGUACUGAGACACGGACCAGACUCCUAC